GACAGAGGGUGCAAACGUUGUUCGGAAUUACUGGGCGUAAAGCGCGUGUAGGCUGCUCCGAAAGUCGGAUGUGAAAGCCCUGGGCUCAACCUAGGAAGUGCACUCGAAACUUCGGAGCUGGAGUCCUGGAGAGGAAGGCGGAAUUCUCGGUGUAGAGGUGAAAUUCGUAGAUAUCGAGAGGAACACCGGUGGCGAAGGCGGCCUUCUGGACAGUGACUGACGCUGAGACGCGAAAGCGUGGGGAGCGAACAGG
RNAcentral lists this ribosomal RNA (253 nucleotides) under uncultured bacterium. RNAcentral describes it as "partial 16S ribosomal RNA". It matches the Rfam family "Bacterial small subunit ribosomal RNA", at positions 524 to 776 of the family's 1533-position model. The record is from RNAcentral.